This 75-nucleotide transfer RNA is filed under the name Blumeria hordei DH14. RNAcentral's name for it is "tRNA-Tyr (GTA) (tRNA-Tyr-GTA-2 1 to 3)". It matches the Rfam family "tRNA". Rfam says of the family: Transfer RNA (tRNA) molecules are approximately 80 nucleotides in length. Their secondary structure includes four short double-helical elements and three loops (D, anti-codon, and T loops). Lineage: Eukaryota; Fungi; Ascomycota; Leotiomycetes; Helotiales; Erysiphaceae. RNAcentral also lists the same sequence under 3 other names. The record is from RNAcentral.
CCCUCGGUCGUCUAGUUGGUUUAUGGCGUCCGACUGUAAAUCGGAAUGUCGCGUGUUCGACUCACGCCUGAGGGA